Molecule: ribosomal RNA, 258 nt
Filed under: Pantoea ananatis
Lineage: Bacteria; Pseudomonadati; Pseudomonadota; Gammaproteobacteria; Enterobacterales; Erwiniaceae
Description: partial 16S ribosomal RNA
Rfam family: Bacterial small subunit ribosomal RNA
Source: RNAcentral
GGGAUCGUUAUCGGAUUACUGGGCGUAAGCGCACGCAGGCGGUCUGUUAAGUCAGAUGUGAAAUCCCCGGGCUUAACCUGGGAACUGCAUUUGAAACUGGCAGGCUUGAGUCUCGUAGAGGGGGGUAGAAUUCCAGGUGUAGCGGUGAAAUGCGUAGAGAUCUGGAGGAAUACCGGUGGCGAAGGCGGCCCCCUGGACGAAGACUGACGCUCAGGUGCGAAAGCGUGGGGAGCAAACAGGAUUAGAUACCCUGGUAAA